GAAGUGAAAUACAGAUCUAAGAGGAGACAGAGAGAUUCAGGGAGGAGCUAAGAUGUUCCUGAACUAUAGAAGAGAGAGGAACUUCCAUAUUCACCAGAGUUCAACACAGACCAUCAUCAUCAUCACCUUCAUUCAACAUGCUGUCAUUAGACUAUUAUUUACAUUCCCUACUGUUAGUUUCCAUUCUAAGAGGGGUCAGCUGUGAAGAUCUCACUGCAUUACAGAAAGAAGAGUUCAGACCAGAAGGCAGCACUGUUACUCUGUCCUACAGAUACUCCAAAACUAUAACAGCUACUGAUUAUUUCUUCUGGUAUCGACAAUAUCCAGGAAAACCACCAGAGUUCCUCAUCCUUCAGUGGGGAACAAAACCUGCAUCAAACUCUCGACUGUCCGUUAAAUCGGAUGAGGAUAAAACCCAGAUCAAUCUGAGCCUCUCCUCUGCUGCAGUGACAGACUCUGCUGUGUACUACUGUGCUGUGCAGCCCACAGUGACAGGAAACACCACAACUCUGUACAAAAACCUCUGCAGCUUCUCCCUGAACAUUCACACACUUCAGAUCCCGCCUUUUUCUGAACAACAUCGCCAUCAAGUGGACACCUCGAACAACUUCUCCUCUCAAAGUGACACACAUCCAACCUCUGAGGGAGACUUCAAAGAUGAAGAGCAGUCUGUCUGGCCUGUCCAUCCACCGGCUCCUGAAAGUGGAUGAACUUGUUAAACUGGUCCUGACUAACAUACGAUUCACUGCAGUGUGAGGUGGAAAAGUUCAUGGUGAAGAACAAGCGUUAGAUUAUUGCAGUGGUGUAAUGUAACUAAGUACAUUUACUCACACUGUACGGAAGUAAAACAUUGAG
This is a non-coding RNA of Trematomus bernacchii (emerald rockcod), 855 nucleotides long. NCBI's taxonomy places the organism in Eukaryota, Metazoa, Chordata, Actinopteri, Perciformes, Nototheniidae. The record is from the annotation of a RefSeq genome assembly.